AGAGUUUGAUCCUGGCUCAGAGCGAACGUUAACGGCGGGCCUAACACAUGCAAGUCGAGCGAGAAAGGGGCUUCGGCCCUGAGUAAAGCGGCGGACGGGUGAGUAACACGUAGGUAAUCUUCCCUUGAGCGGGGGACAACGGUCCGAAAGGACCGCUAAUACCGCAUACGUUUCUUCGGCCUCCGGGCCGGGGAAGGAAAGCUAGGCCGCAAGGUCCGGCACUCGAGGAGGAGCCUGCGUCGCAUCAGCUAGUUGGUGGGGUAACGGCCUACCAAGGCGAAGACGCGUAGCUGGUCUGAGAGGAUGAUCAGCCACACUGGGACUGAGACACGGCCCAGACUCCUACGGGAGGCAGCAGUGGGGAAUAUUGGACAAUGGGCGCAAGCCUGAUCCAGCCACGCCGCGUGAGUGAUGAAGGCCUUCGGGUCGUAAAGCUCUGUGGGGAGGGACGAACCGCUGCACGUGCAUAGCGUGCAGCAUGACGGUACCUCUUAGCAAGCACCGGCUUACUCCGUGCCAGCAGCCGCGGUAAUAC
Molecule: ribosomal RNA, 535 nt
Filed under: uncultured bacterium
Lineage: Bacteria
Description: bacterial SSU rRNA
Rfam family: Bacterial small subunit ribosomal RNA
Source: RNAcentral